GGAUGCAUGAAAUUCCUGCUGAUGCGCGGGAAUCCCCAGACUGAAGCAGCCCUCCCUGCCCUUGUCAGACCGGGAGAGAACUGCACUGAGGGGCAAUCUGAGCACCAGGAAGAAGUUCCAUCUUACAAAUACCAGUGUCCUGCGUCCAUGGACUGGUCAUGCCUCGACUCCAGCCUUGACAAGAGACUCUCCCUCCUCUCAUCUGUGCUCUAGUGAGUGAACAAGCCAACUGAAGCCCCUCGACUUGCCUUCUGCCGUGAGUACCUUCCCUACCUCUUCACUUCGCUGGUCUCUGUGCAUCCUCCGGAUCUCAGCUUAAAGUCACUUCCUCAGUGAAGCCAUGCCUCAGGAUUCCAAUUUCACCAGGGACAAGAACUGUCCUGUCUAUUUGCAGGGGCUAGCACUGUCUGCCAUGUAGUGGACCCUUAACAAGCCCACGCUGAGUCAAUGAAUGAGGUAGCGAUGAGCACACCAAGGGCAUCAGGCCCCCAUGUGCCACUCAGAUUCUCUGACUCUGCCAGUGUUAAGGUUGGGGUGUGGUUUCCAUCGAGCUACAGUGUCUACUUCUCAACUGGUCAAAACUUGGAGUAAAGGGGCUGGCCCCGAGGCCGAGUUGUUCAGUUUGCACGCUCCGCUGCAGGAGGCCCAGUGUUUCGUUGGUUCGAA
This is a long non-coding RNA of Equus quagga, 666 nucleotides long. RefSeq lists it as uncharacterized. The transcript is spliced from 3 exons. The record is from RefSeq and is a predicted model, not a curated record. Lineage: Eukaryota; Metazoa; Chordata; Mammalia; Perissodactyla; Equidae.